Molecule: ribosomal RNA, 266 nt
Filed under: uncultured prokaryote
Description: partial 16S ribosomal RNA
Rfam family: Bacterial small subunit ribosomal RNA
Source: RNAcentral
UACGGAGGAUCCGAGCGUUAUCCGGAUUUAUUGUGUUUAAAGGGUGCGCAGGCGGGAGAUUAAGUCGGCGGUGAAAUUUUGCAGCUCAACUGUAAAAGUGCCUUCGAAACUGGUUUCCUUGAGUGUAGAUGAAGUAGGCGGAAUUUGUGGUGUAGCGGUGAAAUGCAUAGAUAUCACGAGGAACUCCGAUUGCGAAGGCAGCUUACUAAGCUACUACUGACGCUCAGGCACGAAGGCGUGGGGAUCAAACAGGAUUAGAUACCCCU